CGGGGCGUGGCGCAGCCUGGUAGCGCACUUGCAUGGGGUGCAAGGGGUCGCAGGUUCAAAUCCUGUCGCCCCGACCA
This 77-nucleotide transfer RNA is filed under the name Gammaproteobacteria bacterium. RNAcentral's name for it is "tRNA-Pro". It matches the Rfam family "tRNA". Rfam says of the family: Transfer RNA (tRNA) molecules are approximately 80 nucleotides in length. RNAcentral also lists the same sequence under 7 other names. The record is from RNAcentral. Lineage: Bacteria; Pseudomonadati; Pseudomonadota; Gammaproteobacteria.